UAAGGUUAAGUUAAUAAGGGCGCACGGUGGAUGCCUUGGCACUAGAAGCCGAUGAAGGACGUGACUAACGACGAAAUGCUUUGGGGAGCUGUAAGUGAGCAAUGAUCCAGAGAUGUCCGAAUGGGGGAACCCGGCAGGUAAUGCCUGUCACUCAUUACUGUUAAGGUAAUGUAGAGGAAGACGCAGUGAACUGAAACAUCUAAGUAGCUGCAGGAAGAGAAAGCAAAAGCGAUUGCCUUAGUAGCGGCGAGCGAAACGGCAAGAGGGCAAACCGAAGAGUUUACUCUUCGGGGUUGUAGGACUGCAACGUGGACUUAAAGACUAUAGAAGAACUACCUGGGAAGGUAGGCCAAAGAGAGUAAUAGCCUCGUAUUCGAAAUAGUCUUUAUACCUAGCAGUAUCCUGAGUACGGCGAGACACGAGAAAUCUCGUCGGAAUCUGGGAGGACCAUCUCCCAACCCUAAAUACUCUCUAGUGACCGAUAGUGAACCAGUACCGUGAGGGAAAGGUGAAAAGCACCCCGGGAGGGGAGUGAAAUAGAACCUGAAACCGUGUGCCUACAACAAGUUCGAGCCCGUUAAUGGGUGAGAGCGUGCCUUUUGUAGAAUGAACCGGCGAGUUACGAUAUGAUGCGAGGUUAAGUUGAAGAGACGGAGCCGUAGGGAAACCGAGUCUUAAUAGGGCGCAUUAGUAUCAUGUCGUAGACCCGAAACCAUGUGACCUACCCAUGAGCAGGUUGAAGGUGAGGUAAAACUCACUGGAGGACCGAACCAGGGCACGUUGAAAAGUGCUUGGAUGACUUGUGGGUAGCGGAGAAAUUCCAAACGAACUUGGAGAUAGCUGGUUCUCUCCGAAAUAGCUUUAGGGCUAGCGUCGAUGUUAAGUCUCUUGGAGGUAGAGCACUGUUUGGGUGAGGGGUCCAUCCCGGAUUACCAAUCUCAGAUAAACUCCGAAUGCCAACGAGAUAUAAUCGGCAGUCAGACUGCGAGUGCUAAGAUCCGUAGUCGAAAGGGAAACAGCCCAGACCACCAGCUAAGGUCCCAAAAUAUAUGUUAAGUGGAAAAGGAUGUGGGGUUGCACAGACAACUAGGAUGUUAGCUUAGAAGCAGCUAUUCAUUCAAAGAGUGCGUAAUAGCUCACUAGUCGAGUGACCCUGCGCCGAAAAUGUACCGGGGCUAAAACAUAUUACCGAAGCUGUGGAUACCUUUAUAGGUAUGGUAGGAGAGCGUUCUAUGUGCGAAGAAGGUGUACCGUGAGGAGUGCUGGAGCGCAUAGAAGUGAGAAUGCCGGUAUGAGUAGCGAAAGACAGGUGAGAAUCCUGUCCACCGUAAGACUAAGGUUUCCAGGGGAAGGCUCGUCCGCCCUGGGUUAGUCGGGACCUAAGGAGAGACCGAAAGGUGUAUCCGAUGGACAACAGGUUGAUAUUCCUGUACUAGAGUAUAUAGUGAUGGAGGGACGCAGUAGGCUAACUAAACCAGACGAUUGGAAGUGUCUGGCCAAGCAGUGAGGUGUGAUAUGAGUCAAAUGCUUAUAUCUAUAACAUUGAGCUGUGAUGGGGAGCGAAGUUUAGUAGCGAAGUUAGUGAUGUCACACUGCCGAGAAAAGCUUCUAGCGUUAAUUAUACUCUACCCGUACCGCAAACCGACACAGGUAGUCGAGGCGAGUAGCCUCAGGUGAGCGAGAGAACUCUCGUUAAGGAACUCGGCAAAAUGGCCCCGUAACUUCGGGAGAAGGGGCGCUGACUUAUGGUCAGCCGCAGUGAAUAGGCCCAAGCAACUGUUUAUCAAAAACACAGCUCUCUGCUAAAUCGUAAGAUGAUGUAUAGGGGGUGACGCCUGCCCGGUGCUGGAAGGUUAAGAGGAGUGCUUAGCAAUAGCGAAGGUAUGAAUUGAAGCCCCAGUAAACGGCGGCCGUAACUAUAACGGUCCUAAGGUAGCGAAAUUCCUUGUCGGGUAAGUUCCGACCCGCACGAAAGGCGUAAUGAUUUGGGCACUGUCUCAACGAGAGACUCGGUGAAAUUUUAGUACCUGUGAAGAUGCAGGUUACCCGCGACAGGACGGAAAGACCCCAUGGAGCUUUACUGCAGUUUGAUAUUGAGUAUCUGUACCACAUGUACAGGAUAGGUAGGAGCCUAUGACCUCGGGACGCCAGUUUCGAGUGAGGCGUUGUUGGGAUACUACCCUUGUGUUAUGGCUACUCUAACCCAGAUAGGUUAUCCCUAUCGGAGACAGUGUCUGACGGGCAGUUUGACUGGGGCGGUCGCCUCCUAAAAGGUAACGGAGGCGCCCAAAGG
This 2293-nucleotide ribosomal RNA is filed under the name Streptococcus sp. HMSC064H09. RNAcentral's name for it is "bacterial LSU rRNA". It matches the Rfam family "Bacterial large subunit ribosomal RNA", at positions 1 to 2316 of the family's 2925-position model. Lineage: Bacteria; Bacillati; Bacillota; Bacilli; Lactobacillales; Streptococcaceae. The record is from RNAcentral.